AUAAAGCGUAUUUGUCGUUGCA
This 22-nucleotide microRNA is filed under the name Tribolium castaneum (red flour beetle). RNAcentral describes it as "tca-miR-11621-5p". Lineage: Eukaryota; Metazoa; Arthropoda; Insecta; Coleoptera; Tenebrionidae. The record is from miRBase by way of RNAcentral.